This 271-nucleotide unclassified non-coding RNA is filed under the name Hevea brasiliensis (rubber tree). The record is from RNAcentral. Lineage: Eukaryota; Viridiplantae; Streptophyta; Magnoliopsida; Malpighiales; Euphorbiaceae.
GUCCAGAGGGUGAGUGGAGCACCCAGCAACAAUUGAAGCUAUGCCUCCUUCAACAAAACCUUUCAAACCCAUUUUUCAAAAGCUUGCCAAGAAUCAAAACAACAAGAAUCGUCGGUAAUAAAUUAAAGAAUGGCAAAAUUAUGAGGUUUUCUUUUCUUUUUCAGGGAAAAGAAACAAAGCAACAAUCAGAGAAAGAAAGCUCUAAGAUUCUUUAAUGGGAAAUACAAGACCAGUUAGAAUUUGGGUUCAUCUCACUGGAAACCAGGAGAUG